CGAAGGACGAACGCUGGCGGCGUGCCUAACACAUGCAAGUCGAGCGGGGACAAUUGCUCGGUAGUGUUCUAGCGGCGGACGGGUGAGUAACGCGUGAGCAACCUUUCUCUCAGUGGGGAAUAACACAGGGAAACUUGUACUAAUACCGCAUGAGACCACAGAGCGGCAUCGCUUAGAGGUCAAAGAUUUAUCGCUGAGAGGUGGGCUCGCGUCUGAUUAGAUAGUUGGUGAGGUAACGGCCCACCAAGGCGACGAUCAGUAGCCGGACUGAGAGGUUGACCGGCCACAUUGGGACUGAGAUACGGCCCAGACUCCUACGGGAGGCAGCAGUGGGGAAUAUUGGGCAAUGGACGCAAGUCUGACCCAGCAACGCCGCGUGAAGGAAGAAGGCUUUCGGGUUGUAAACUUCUUUUAAGUGGGAAGAGCAGAAGACGGUACCACUUGAAUAAGCCACGGCUAACUACGUG
RNAcentral lists this ribosomal RNA (467 nucleotides) under uncultured bacterium. RNAcentral describes it as "bacterial SSU rRNA". It matches the Rfam family "Bacterial small subunit ribosomal RNA", at positions 26 to 507 of the family's 1533-position model. The record is from RNAcentral.